Candoia aspera is the source of this 105-nucleotide small nuclear RNA. NCBI's taxonomy places the organism in Eukaryota, Metazoa, Chordata, Lepidosauria, Squamata, Candoiidae. The record is from RefSeq and is a predicted model, not a curated record.
GUUUGCUUCAACAGCACAUACGCUCAGAUUAGAACGAUACAGGGAAGAUUAGCAUGAGCCCUGGGCAACGAUGGCUGCAUAAAUAAUUGUAAAUAAUAUGUCAUU